AGUGUCAGAAAUUGCCUAACUAAAACCUGAGGUUCCCAUGGCCACCUUAGCAAUAGAGCAGAGCUGAAAGCUGAAAGGAAAAGCCACUUGUGGGGCUUUGGUAACCACGAAAACCAACAACAAUCUGGAGAGGGACGCAACUAAGGGCAGGUGAGAGCUCAAGGGAUCAGGAUUCUGCAGCUGCCAAUCAUGUGCUCCUGAAUGAAGAGAGGUUCAUUGCUUGCUGCCUUAUAAU
Molecule: long non-coding RNA, 235 nt
Organism: Hyla sarda
Lineage: Eukaryota; Metazoa; Chordata; Amphibia; Anura; Hylidae
Exons: 4
Source: RefSeq, a predicted model, not a curated record